This 253-nucleotide ribosomal RNA is filed under the name uncultured bacterium. Its description in RNAcentral is "partial 16S ribosomal RNA". It matches the Rfam family "Bacterial small subunit ribosomal RNA", at positions 524 to 776 of the family's 1533-position model. The record is from RNAcentral.
GACGAACCGUGCGAACGUUGUUCGGAUUCACUGGGCUUAAAGGGCGCGUAGGCGGGCGGUCAAGUCAGGGGUGAAAUCUUUCGGCUCAACCGGAAAAGUGCCUUUGAUACUGGCCGUCUCGAGGGAGGUAGGGGCAUGCGGAACUAUUGGUGGAGCGGUGAAAUGCGUUGAUAUCAAUAGGAACUUCGGUGGCGAAGGCGGCAUGCUGGACCUUUUCUGACGCUGAGGCGCGAAAGCCAGGGGAGCAAACAGG